Molecule: ribosomal RNA, 492 nt
Filed under: uncultured bacterium
Lineage: Bacteria
Description: partial 16S ribosomal RNA
Rfam family: Bacterial small subunit ribosomal RNA
Source: RNAcentral
AGUGAACGCUGGCGGUAGGCCUAACACAUGCAAGUCGAACGGCAGCACAGUAAGAGCCUGCUCUUACGGGUGGCGAGUGGCGGACGGGUGAGGAAUACAUCGGAAUCUACUUUUUCGUGGGGGAUAACGUAGGGAAACUUACGCUAAUACCGCAUACGACCUACGGGUGAAAGCAGGGGAUCUUCGGACCUUGCGCGAUUGAAUGAGCCGAUGUCGGAUUAGCUAGUUGGCGGGGUAAAGGCCCACCAAGGCGACGAUCCGUAGCUGGUCUGAGAGGAUGAUCAGCCACACUGGAACUGAGACACAGUCCAGACUCCUACGGGAGGCAGCAGUGGCGAAUGUUGGCCAAUGGGCGCAAGCCUGAUCCAGCCAUACCGCGUGGGUGAAAAAGGCCUUCGGGUUGUAAAGCCCUUUUGUUGGGAAAGAAAAGCAGCAGGUUAAUACCCCGCUGUUCUGACGGUACCCAAAGAAUAAGCACCGGCUAACUUCGUG